RNAcentral lists this ribosomal RNA (427 nucleotides) under uncultured Parvibaculum sp. RNAcentral's name for it is "bacterial SSU rRNA". It matches the Rfam family "Bacterial small subunit ribosomal RNA", at positions 8 to 479 of the family's 1533-position model. The record is from RNAcentral. Lineage: Bacteria; Pseudomonadati; Pseudomonadota; Alphaproteobacteria; Hyphomicrobiales; Parvibaculaceae.
AGAGUUUGAUCAUGGCUCAGAACGAACGCUGGCGGCAGGCUUAACACAUGCAAGUCGAACGGUUGUAGCAAUACAGCAGUGGCAGACGGGUGAGUAACACGUGGGAACCUACCUAGGGGUACGGAAUAACUCGGGGAAACUCGUGCUAAUACCGUAUACGUCCUUUGGGAGAAAGAUUCAUCGCCCCUAGAUGGGCCCGCGUUGGAUUAGCUAGUUGGUGGGGUAAAGGCCUACCAAGGCAACGAUCCAUAGCUGGUCUGAGAGGAUGAUCAGCCACACUGGGACUGAGACACGGCCCAGACUCCUACGGGAGGCAGCAGUGGGGAAUCUUGGACAAUGGGGGAAACCCUGAUCCAGCCAUGCCGCGUGAAUGAUGAAGGCCUUAGGGUUGUAAAGUUCUUUCGCCAGGGAAGAUAAUGACGGUACC